This is a long non-coding RNA of Phyllostomus hastatus (greater spear-nosed bat), 297 nucleotides long. RefSeq lists it as uncharacterized. The transcript is spliced from 4 exons. Lineage: Eukaryota; Metazoa; Chordata; Mammalia; Chiroptera; Phyllostomidae. The record is from RefSeq and is a predicted model, not a curated record.
GAGCCAAGCAUUUCCUGAGUUAGGGGCUGGUUAUGGCAUCCAGAUAGUAGUGUGUGACCUGGACAUAUAAAGAUGAAGAAAACCCCAGCUGAUUCUUGAGCAACAAGACUCCAAUAGAGAAGCAGAUAUAAGAAGAAACACAUAGGGCACAGUGAAUACAGUUGUAUGUUUCAGAUAUCAGAAUGUAUGAGAAAUAUUUAGAGGCAGAGCAAAUGAAAAUCUACCAGGUCCUGACAACAAAUAUUCUUCUUUUUGUCUCUGUGAAUUUGAUAUUCUAGGUGUCUCAUAUAAAUGGAC